This 497-nucleotide ribosomal RNA is filed under the name uncultured bacterium. RNAcentral's name for it is "partial 16S ribosomal RNA". It matches the Rfam family "Bacterial small subunit ribosomal RNA", at positions 28 to 507 of the family's 1533-position model. The record is from RNAcentral.
GAUGAACGCUGGCGGCGUGCCUAAUACAUGCAAGUCGAGCGAACAGACGAGGAGCUUGCUCCUCUGACGUUAGCGGCGGACGGGUGAGUAACACGUGGAUAACCUACCUAUAAGACUGGGAUAACUUCGGGAAACCGGAGCUAAUACCGGAUAAUAUAUUGAACCGCAUGGUUCAAUAGUGAAAGACGGUUUUGCUGUCACCUAUAGAUGGAUCCGCGCCGCAUUAGCUAGUUGGUAAGGUAACGGCUUACCAAGGCAACGAUGCGUAGCCGACCUGUGAGGGUGAUCGGCCACACUGGAACUGAGACACGGUCCAGACUCCUACGGGAGGCAGCAGUAGGGAAUCUUCCGCAAUGGGCGAAAGCCUGACGGAGCAACGCCGCGUGAGUGAUGAAGGUCUUCGGAUCGUAAAACUCUGUUAUUAGGGAAGAACAAAUGUGUAAGUAACUAUGCACGUCUUGACGGCACCUAAUCAGAAAGCCACGGCUAACUACGUG